This 62-nucleotide transfer RNA is filed under the name Hemisodorcus sinensis. RNAcentral describes it as "tRNA-His". The record is from RNAcentral. Lineage: Eukaryota; Metazoa; Arthropoda; Insecta; Coleoptera; Lucanidae.
AUUCAAGUAGUUUAUUGAAAAUAUUGACUUGUGGAGUCGGAGAUGUAGAAAUACCUUGAGUA